GGUGGCUCAGUGGUAGAAGAGCACUUGCCUUACAUGCAUGAGGCCCUGGGUUUGAUUCCUCAGCACCA
RNAcentral lists this transfer RNA (68 nucleotides) under Dipodomys ordii (Ord's kangaroo rat). It matches the Rfam family "tRNA". From Rfam's summary of the family: Transfer RNA (tRNA) molecules are approximately 80 nucleotides in length. Lineage: Eukaryota; Metazoa; Chordata; Mammalia; Rodentia; Heteromyidae. The record is from Rfam by way of RNAcentral.